UGCAUUCACUACUGUAAGUCGCUCUGGAUUACAGCGUCUGCUAAAUGACGUAAA
Non-coding RNA from Salmo salar (Atlantic salmon), 54 nucleotides. NCBI's taxonomy places the organism in Eukaryota, Metazoa, Chordata, Actinopteri, Salmoniformes, Salmonidae. The record is from Rfam.